AACGAACGCUGGCGGCAGGCUUAACACAUGCAAGUCGAACGCCCCGCAAGGGGAGUGGCAGACGGGUGAGUAACGCGUGGGAAUCUACCCAUCCCUACGGAACAACUCCGGGAAACUGGAGCUAAUACCGUAUACGCCCUUCGGGGGAAAGAUUUAUCGGGGAUGGAUGAGCCCGCGUUGGAUUAGCUAGUUGGUGGGGUAAAGGCCUACCAAGGCGACGAUCCAUAGCUGGUCUGAGAGGAUGAUCAGCCACAUUGGGACUGAGACACGGCCCAAACUCCUACGGGAGGCAGCAGUGGGGAAUAUUGGACGAUGGGCGCAAGCCUGAUCCAGCCAUGCCGCGUGAGUGAUGAAGGCCUUAGGGUUGUAAAGCUCUUUCACCGAUGAAGAUAAUGACGGUAGUCGGAGAAGAAGCCCCGGCUAACUUCGUGCCAGCCGCCGCCGUAA
RNAcentral lists this ribosomal RNA (447 nucleotides) under uncultured bacterium. Its description in RNAcentral is "partial 16S ribosomal RNA". It matches the Rfam family "Bacterial small subunit ribosomal RNA", at positions 29 to 523 of the family's 1533-position model. The record is from RNAcentral.